UACGAAGGGGGCUAGCGUUGCUCGGAAUUACUGGGCGUAAAGGGUGCGUAGGCGGUCUGACAAGUCUGAUGUGAAAUCUAUGGGCUCAACCCAUAGUCUGCAUCGGAAACUGUCGGGCUGGAGUAUGGGAGAGGUGAGUGGAAUUCCGAGUGUAGAGGUGAAAUUCGUAGAUAUUCGGAAGAACACCAGUGGCGAAGGCGACUCGCUGGACAAGUAUUGACGCUGAGGUGCGAAAGCGUGGGGAGCAAACAGG
Molecule: ribosomal RNA, 253 nt
Filed under: uncultured bacterium
Lineage: Bacteria
Description: partial 16S ribosomal RNA
Rfam family: Bacterial small subunit ribosomal RNA
Source: RNAcentral